GAAGUUAGCGGCGGACGGUUGAGUAACACGUGGGUAACCUGCCCAUAAGACUGGGAUAACUCCGGGAAACCGGGGCUAAUACCGGAUAACAUUUUGAACCGCAUGGUUCGAAAUUGAAAGGCGGCUUCGGCUGUCACUUAUGGAUGGACCCGCGUCGCAUUAGCUAGUUGGUGAGGUAACGGCUCACCAAGGCAACGAUGCGUAGCCGACCUGAGAGGGUGAUCGGCCACACUGGGACUGAGACACGGCCCAGACUCCUACGGGAGGCAGCAGUAGGGAAUCUUCCGCAAUGGACGAAAGUCUGACGGAGCAACGCCGCGUGAGUGAUGAAGGCUUUCGGGUCGUAAAACUCUGUUGUUAGGGAAGAACAAGUGCUAGUUGAAUAAGCUGGCACCUUGACGGUACCUAACCAGAAAGCCACGGCUAACUACGUGCCAGCAGCCGCGGUAAUACGUAGGUGGCAAGCGUUAUCCGGAAUUAUUGGGCGUAAAGCGCGCGCAGGUGGUUUCUUAAGUCUGAUGUGAAAGCCCACGGCUCAACCGUGGAGGGUCAUUGGAAACUGGGAGACUUGAGUGCAGAAGAGGAAAGUGGAAUUCCAUGUGUAGCGGUGAAAUGCGUAGAGAUAUGGAGGAACACCAGUGGCGAAGGCGACUUUCUGGUCUGUAACUGACA
This 672-nucleotide ribosomal RNA is filed under the name Bacillus sp. B11(2012). Its description in RNAcentral is "bacterial SSU rRNA". It matches the Rfam family "Bacterial small subunit ribosomal RNA", at positions 88 to 745 of the family's 1533-position model. The record is from RNAcentral. Lineage: Bacteria; Bacillati; Bacillota; Bacilli; Caryophanales; Bacillaceae.